Molecule: ribosomal RNA, 303 nt
Filed under: uncultured bacterium
Lineage: Bacteria
Description: bacterial SSU rRNA
Rfam family: Bacterial small subunit ribosomal RNA
Source: RNAcentral
UGGGGGAUAUUGCACAAUGGGCGAAAGCCUGAUGCAGCGACGCCGCGUGAGGGAAGACGGUUUUCGGAUUGUAAACCUCUGUCGAGGGGGACGAAGGAAGUGACGGUACCCCUUGAGGAAGCCACGGCUAACUACGUGCCAGCAGCCGCGGUAAUACGUAGGUGGCAAGCGUUGUCCGGAAUUACUGGGUGUAAAGGGAGCGUAGGCGGGAAUGCAAGUUGAAUGUAUAAACGGUCGGCUCAACCGGCCGAAGCGUUCAAAACUGCAGUUCUUGAGUGGAGUAGAGGCAGGCGGAAUUCCUAG